UACGUAGGGUGCAAGCGUUAUCCGGAAUUAUUGGGCGUAAAGAGCUCGUAGGCGGUUUGUCACGUCUGCUGUGAAAACUGGAGGCUCAACCUCCAGCCUGCAGUGGGUACGGGCAGACUAGAGUGCGGUAGGGGAGAUUGGAAUUCCUGGUGUAGCGGUGGAAUGCGCAGAUAUCAGGAGGAACACCGAUGGCGAAGGCAGAUCUCUGGGACGUAACUGACGCUGAGGAGCGAAAGCAUGGGGAGCGAACAGG
RNAcentral lists this ribosomal RNA (253 nucleotides) under uncultured bacterium. RNAcentral describes it as "partial 16S ribosomal RNA". It matches the Rfam family "Bacterial small subunit ribosomal RNA", at positions 524 to 776 of the family's 1533-position model. The record is from RNAcentral.